UCUUGGCUCCAUGCUUGUGUGACUAGACAUUACCCAUAUCACAUACCACGUUUGGGCAUUUAUUCUUUUAGCCCAUCAGUAGGCUUUAUUCUGUUUCCAGGGUAUGGUGACUAAUCGUUUUUAAUUUAGAAUUCUCUGGAGCUUCUGACUGAUUCUUCUUGUCAGCAAUUGGCAAAUUUCAUUCACAUUCUAGUAAAAUGAUGCCAGCCUCUUUUCACUAGUAAAAUCGGGUCUAAUUUCAGCUUGUAAGUUGUAGUAUGUCUCCCAUCUCCUCCUUUCCCUUGUUUCCCACCUUCUCUUUUCCUGUUUGUCUCCUCCUCACAUCUACCCCCUCUCCUUUCAUGUGUUAGAGUGAGGAGGCUAAUAUUUGAUUUCACAGCUUUUGCUGAGUUUGCCAACAGUGGUAUUGACUAGGCUGUAAUUUUUAAGAACCGUAGGGACAGCUUUAUUUCGGAUGAAGAGGAUUUGAAUGAGUACAGGUGUGAAAAACCUGCAUCAUAUCUUAUAAAUCCUCAUAAGGUCCCUAAGUCUCUUCCAGAGCAUAGUGUGAUUUGUCAGUUGUCACCCUUCCUGAGCUGCAGAUGUCAUUAAUCAUGAGAGGGAAAAGUUCCCAUUUAAAUGUUUGAUCAUUUGUCUUCAGAAAACAUGAUUUUCAACUCUUUUAGAGUCACAGAACAUGUAAGCAGUAAUGAGUUGGAGUCCCAUCGGCAGUACCCGAGGCUGGGUAGUGGUCACAGUGAAACACAGGCUGACUGGCCUUAGGCUGGACACUGCUCACCCAGCCCUGGGGGCCUUGGACUGUGCCCCUGCUGGGGUGCUGAGUGGCAGAGGGCCCAUAGUGGACUCUGUCUCUGUCUGGUGCAUUUCCUGGGAAGGUUUAACCCCUGUUUUUGUUGUUGUGAUAAACAGAUUUAUUAUUGACCAAGAAUUUGAAUGAAAGAUUAAAAACAGGACAUUUUCUUCAUGCAUAGAUUGUUUCCUUCUAUUUAAUUAAAUUGCAAAAGCUCUGGGAGUCUUAUGGAUGUGUACAUACCAAAAAAAAGUGUUUCGUGUGCUAGUUUUGAAACUGGAAGAAAGUGCUACUGCUUUAGGAUUCUCUUUUUCUUGAUUUUGUAGUUUUUGUAGACCAUAAUUAUGAGCGGCCCAAGAAAUGGCAAAAAGACAGGAAAAAAAAAAAAAAUGAAAUUGGCUGAAGAAGGUCUCUUCAGUUUUGAAGUAUUUUUAAUGUAGUUUUUUGCCUAAAUGAAUGAAUUGAAAAUCCAUUAGUUAUUUUUCUCUAAUACAUGAUAUGUGUUUUAAGAUUUUUUCCCACAGCCUCAAAGAAUUCUCUUGUUGGAAGUAUUUUAGUGACCAAAGUUUUUCCUGUUGAAAUGUUCAGUUUUAUAAAUUUUGUUGCCUUGAAACUUAAAGACCUUCAAGGAAGGUUUUUGUUCCGGGCUGGAUUCCGAUACUCUUGAAUCUUAAGAACUGUGUGGAGGAAAAUGAAGAAGGAAGAUUGUUGCUGAAAACCACGUGGGUAGUGCUUUACUGUUUACAACUCCAGUGAAGACGUGACGGCCCUGCCUGGCCUGCAGGGUAGCUCUCUUGAGUUUGAAUAUGAGGAUAGCUUAAAGUUAUUUCAGAAACCAUCCUGCUUCAGGCUGGAUAUUGAUGCAUAGAAGUCAUAUUACCUCAAGCAUGAAGGAAAAUAGAAUAAAUUUGAAUGCUCCUUGAAAGGUUUAGUUUAAAAUGGUGAGAUUCUGACCCUUGGAGGAUUCUACAGAGUCUAACACUUUGCUCACAUAAGCAGAAUUCUGUACUCUCCCCGUGGCGGGGUGGAGAGGGCACCUCUCUAGGUGGAUUCCCCCAAGUUAGUGAACCUUUCAUCUUGCUUUGGAGUUUUUAAGGAAAUGUUGCAUUUUAGGAUAGAAGUCACUGUUGGUUUUUUAAGGGAGUUCAGUAGCCAUGACUUGGAUUUAUUUUAGUUGUGGCCACUGACUUUGGAUUUGUACUGAAGGCUUUUUUUGUCUUUUCAGUGGAGUUUGCAGUAUUGUAUAGAAAAACUGCAUAUUUCUUUAAAUGUUUUUAUUGAAUCUUGCUUAAACUGGACACUCUCUUCUGUUUCUCAGAGUUCUCCCUCUCCUGGUCAGCACCCUGAAUUCUGUUUUACUGUCUUUGUCCUUUGUUGAGAGGAUUAGAUUGCCAUGAACUUUGAGAGCAGAUACUAUUUUUCUUGUGAAAACUUAUGUAAAUUCUGUCACUUUCUAUGCUUUAUUUAAGGUAAUGCAAAAUAUGUUCAAAGCAGAUGCCAAAAUUUUUAGUUUUCAUUCGUCAAAUAUUAUAGCUGGAUUUUUUGAAGCUUUUAAAAACCUCUAAUAACUGGAUUAGCAAUUUAAAAUUCAGGCUUAUUUAAUGUGGAAGACUUUUGAAUGAUCAGUGCUCAUUUUGAAACAUUUUAAAUUAUACAUAUAUGCAUAGGUAUGUAAAUGUGUGUAUGUGUAUAUAGGUUUUUUUAAUUUUUAUAUAUUUUUUUGGUCUGUGUUUUCUGGUAUUUCCCUUUGGAAGUUUCAGAAAAUACAGAAAAGUGUCAGUCAGAAAAUUAAAGUUACUUAGGAUCCCAUCACAUAGAAAUAACUGCUAUUUAUUUUCCAGGAAAUAGCUUCCCAUCACUUUUUCUAGUUCAAAUUGUAUUGUAUCUUUAGGAGAAUCUUCUAAGCCAAACUUGCAGCCAAGGCUCCUGUAAAGAGUAUUGAUUAUUAGUUGAUAGCAAGAGAGAAAUGUAAGAAAAGGAGUUAGAGAUUGAGGCUUGGUUUGGGAUCACAUUCCCCUUUAAUCCUCUCCUUUGAAAAGUAGCUGUUUGCAGAGGCUGACUUAUUUUGAAGCUUGGACAUCCAUUCCUCCGUGCCCUGGACUCGGGAGUUCUCUCUUGAUUGCAGAUAUCCAGCCUUCUGACUAAUCCCAUCUUCCUGAGGUCUCUUGUCAUCUAGGGGAUACCUUUGACUCUUGACUGGCAGCACUUUGAGUGAUUCCAUUGACGAACAAGAGUGUACAGUAACCAUGUUUUCCAAAUUAAAUUGCUUCCCAGUAGCCUUAUUUGUUCAUUCUCUGUGAGGCUCACUCCGUCUAAAUCGUUUCCCUAUAGUAAUUCCUACAGAAAAAUCUUAAAGUAAGACCUUUCGUCUUGCACUUAACAGCAAAAUUCGAAAACUAUUUUUGUGCAGAGUAAAUAUUCUCAGAGCAGAAAUAAUGCUAGGUUGGCCUCAGUGGCACCAGAGCCUUGUGUGGCUCCUCUGAUGUCGAGAAAUGUCUGCUUCUCUGACUUGGUGUCAAUGUGAAAGUGGUGGAAUUACGAGGACUAGUUAUUGUUUGCUGAAGUCAAGUGCAUCUUGUCAGUUAAUGAGUCGUGCUGCUGUGCUGAUCAGCACCUCGGAGGUCACACUGCUCACUGACCCCCAUGCUCGAGGGCGCUUUCCAUUCCAUGUGUCCUUUCCUUCGCAGGCGGAAUUUGCAGAGAACCCCCCGCCCACUGCCAGAGCCCUAACUAUCUUGGCCGUGAGUUGUUCAUUCUACCAGACUUAAUGGUCAACACGUUUCUUUCUCACUUUUUUGAGCUUACAGGAAAAAUUGCAGUAAACUCAAUGGAAGAAAUUAAACUCGUACAUUAAAAAAGUUGUUUUUCUUUGUUUUUAUUUUUGGGUUUUUUUUUUUUUCCCUUUUUCCUCACCGAAAAUAGUAAUUCCUUGAAGCGAAGUAAUUACAUAUGCUAGUGUGUAAAUGGUUUUGAUUUUCAUCAAUAUUUUGUUUAAGCAGUUAAUAAGGGACAGUGGUGACACAACCAGAUCUAUCAUAAUUCCCUAUAGACACGGUUUCUCGUUUUACAGGUGCUGAAGGAUAGUUUUUGUAAAGGUAAAAUCAUCACUCCCAGGUAAAUAUAAAAUGAACCUGUGUCAAAGAUUUUACUUAACUCUUGAAAUUAAUGAGGAAAUAGUCCAAAGAGCAGCUGAGAAAUUAGGCAUAUAUAGACAGUUUAUCAAAGAGAUGUUUCUGGGUUAGAUUGAAAAUUGGUUAAUUCCUACCAGAGCCACCAAUCUUGACAGCUUUUGCAUCUCAUUUGGCUAAAUUUCUCACAGAACUCACAGUUCACAAACUACCCUCAUUCUGGGACAUUGGUCCAGAGUAAACAGUGGGUUGCAUUGGGUAUGUUGGCUUGGUGUGCCUUUGACCUCCCUGUUCGACAUUAAAAGAUGUGCAUGGAUGUCUUCCAAGUUUGCGUACCUUUUUCUGAUACGAAGAAAAGGAAAAAAAAUUAAAAAAGAAGGGGCAUGAUGUUUGCUUUCAUAACAAGAAAACAAAGGGAAAAGUUUAGGAAAAAAGAAGGUGGAUUUGGCAAGAAGUGCUUUGCUUUGAUAAUGUUUGAUGUAAAAAGCCAAACACAUUUCAUGUUAUAGAAGAAACAUGUUCUUUCUUUGUCUCCUGAUCUGUAAUGUGGGUGCUUUUCCAACAACCAGUGGAGGAGCUUAGCUGUGGGUGACUCACUCAUGUUCUAGGGCCUGUGUGUCCACAGCCAAGUGGGAUGAACUCUUAGUGCAGCCAUGAUGCAGCACACAUUUGUGAGCCUCAGCUCUCAUGUAAGGAAUAACAGUUAUUUUAAAAAAGUAUUAAAAAUGUCAACAUGGCCAUGUAAUUCCACUGGAAUACUGCUAAGUGAACUUUGUGUGAACUCUGUGAUGCGGAAUCUUAGCCGUUUGGGAGGUCAUCUUGUUACCUGGAUGAGGAGCCUGAAGUGCAGCUUAUUGGCUGAUUCUGGGAGGAACAAGGACGAAAAUCCAUGCUUCUUGCUGUUGAUCCAACACUGUGGCCUUUUACAUGUUGCAUAAUUAGAAAAUUAUAAAUCUUUGAUAUUUAUUUUGUGCUUAUUUUGCUAAUUCUGUGCAAGAUAUUUAAACUACAAAAAAAGUUAACACAGUCUGUACUCUUGAUGGGUUUAAGAUCUAGCUGAAGAGACUGAUACUAUUAUUUCUUAAAGGAUUCACAACACAUGGAACGACAAUACACAGGAUGUAACGAGUGAUUAAUAGAUAUAAGUUCUGCAGGAAUUUAGAAGGAAGGGGUCAGAGGAAGAUACUAAAAAGGUAAACAGCCCUGGGAAGCAGCAUGUGGAAGUGCCCUGAGGGCUAGAGAAGCAUUUCUUUUCUCCAGGGGCAGAUUUGGAGGAGCCCCUUGCCCACUUUAGUCACUUCAUGUAAUCCAGUGGCAGGUGUACCAAUCAUUUUGGUCCUGCUGUUGGUGUAAUACUUUUACUUGCUGGUGCUAUUAAUGGUUAAUUUACAUGGAAUUUUGGUUCAUUAGUCAUAUAUUUAAAAACUGUGGGUGACCCAGACAGUCCGUCCAAGUAGCUUCAUAGAUAGUGUUGGGAAUGGUGGCCAUACAUAAUCUUGUCUGGUCACGUGGCAGGCAGCGACUUACAAAUAUAUUUCCUGAAAGGCGCAUUAGUGGAAUAAGAGUCCUGGUAUUGUGGUGUCUACAGUUAAAUGUGUCUCUGUUACUCAUGGGAGUGGCAUGGUUUGUAAAGCAGGGCAGAAGAGUUCACGGAUGCACUCAUUUUUCGAGGGCAUUUUGUACUUUUGUUUUAGCAGAAAAGUUAACAUUUUGAUUGAUGUAUUUAUCAAGGUUAUAAGAAGCAAAAGCUAAAAUUAAUAUUUCACAAUUUUAAUUGCUUUUGCUUGGCUCCUCUCUGCAUGUUAUGCAUUCUGAUUUUUAAAUAUUUAACAUUUCAUCUCGGGGGUAAAGUAGAAGUGAAAUAACUUGGAGCGUAGCUUUCUGUCCAUGGUAGUCCUCCCUGCCCCUUUUGAAGCAGAGUGAUGUUCAUGUUAGGGCUUUCUAGCAUUAAGAGAAAUUAUUUGCUAAGGUGGCAGUUUUUCUAAACUCUAACAGCACUUAGAGGGUGAACAUUUAUAAGGCGUGACUUCAUGGUGUGUGUUGUGUGGUAGAUAUAACUGAUAAUUCUCCUUUCUCCCGUUGACUGUCUAAUUUCUAACUGUUAUGACAUGUUUUUCUGAAGUGUACUUUGCAGUAGCUUUAGGCAGAUUGGAAGAGGUGGGCAUUUUUGUGUUUGCCAACGUUCUAGUGCUGGAAGGGAUUCAGGGUAACUCUAGGGUAGCCCUCUGUUUUUGUAAUUGAAGAAAAUGAGAUCCUAUCUGGAGAUAGAACCCUCCCCCCAUGCACAUAUAUGUACAUCUAUAAAUGUUUCUAUAUCCAUCUCUGUGUAUUGUUUGUGUAUGUAAUGAAAUAAUACCUUCAGUUCGAACUAAGCAUCUUGGAGUUCUUUCUUUGUAACUACUUUCUCUGGCAGUGAGAAACACAGCCCCCACUAUCCUUAAUGUAGUGUCUUAUUUGUUCAAUCAAAGGUGACUUGCAGAAGGCAGGCCUGCCUACCCGCUGCACUGCUGUGCCAGUCCCUGCCACUGCCUUGCCUGGCCCGGGGCUGCCUCUCUGUGGUGUCUGUGGCUACCCCAGCUGCUAUGCCAACGCGUCUGUGCUGGCAGCAGAAAGGAAGAAAAAUUCGAAUUCUUUAACGUUUCCCAGAUGUUACCCUCAGCCCUGCCACAUUUCCUUGAGAGUUUCUUUAUUUUUGAGAUUCUUCUCGAUGUUGCGGCCUGAGAACCCCAGGUACUUGCUCAUUCCUGUGGUUGGUCCUGGCUCCUGUUUGCACAGGGCAGAGGGUCAAGCUCUCAUUAUUUGACCAGAGGGGCUGGAAUUUUUGCCCACUAGAGAGAAUGAGCUGGCUCUCCCCCAGCCUCAUGCUCUGCAGCAGAGUUGCUGCGGGUCUGGGCUCGUUUCUGAUGGUGGGGGGGAGGCUCAGCCGCGGCGUUACAGCUCUUCAGUUCCAGCUCCUCUGCAUCCACAGACAGAGAGUCCCUUCUUGAUAUUCAUGCCUCAAAGCCCUAGCCAGCACUGUCUGAAAAUUCCUCUGGUCAAAACGUUAGCAUCUGAUCCUCAAGGAUCAGAGGAGUCCAUUGUGUUCCUUUACUCUGUUCCUACUGCUCUUUUUCAUGCCUCAAAAUGAUAAGCAAUGCUUCUUUUUGGUUGCAGGUAACAUAAAACUUGCCUCAGAAUAGCUUGAACAAGGAGAGUGUAUCUGAUCGUAUAACUGACAAAACCCAGAGUUGGGUGGCCUUAGGCCAAGGCUCUGGCUUCAUUUCUUUGUGAUUCUCUUGGCUCUGUUCUCUCUCUGUCAGCUUUGACCUUGGGUAGCUUCUUUCGUGUUAGCAAAAUGGCUGCAGUGGUUCCAGGCUUCACGUCCACCUACCACAUGGUUCAGAAAGGAAAACAUUUUGGUUUUAUGCUGAUUGGACCAACUCAGGUCAUGUGUUCAUCCCAGAAUCCAGGACUGUUGCAGGGGGUGGGGGUGAGAUUACGCUGAUUGGUUCAGGCCUGUUCCUACUUUACCUGUAGAGCUGAGGGUAAAGUCAGUCAGUUUCAUCCUGAACAGCUGAGGUUCACAAAAUAAUCUUCAUGGAAUAGUGAUCAUAACUUCAGCUUUCAUAGCACUUAGGGCAGUAUAUUUAUUCAUUAAAAAUAGCUGUAAGAGGAGUUCCUGUCGUGGUGCAGCGGAAACAAAUCCAACUAGGAACCAUGAGGUUGCGGGUUCGAUCCCUGGUCUUGCUCAGUGGGUUAAGGAUCUGGCAUUGCUGUGAGCUGUGGUGUAGGUUGCCGACGUGGCUCGGAUCUGGUGUGGCUGUGGCUGUGGUAUAGGCCGGCAGCUGUAGCUCCCAUUUGACCCCUAGCC
This 7768-nucleotide long non-coding RNA is filed under the name Sus scrofa (pig). Its description in RNAcentral is "lncRNA (ENSSSCG00015049229.1)". The record is from RNAcentral. Lineage: Eukaryota; Metazoa; Chordata; Mammalia; Artiodactyla; Suidae.